AUUUGGGUGCCCNGCUAGCGACAGGCUUAACACAUGACAAGUCGAGGGGCAGCACGGGAGUAGCAAUACAACUGGUGGCGACCGGCGCACGGGUGAGUAACGCGUAUGCAACCUACCUAUCAGAGGGGAAUAACCCGGCGAAAGUCGGACUAAUACCGCAUAAAACAGGGGCACCGCAUGGUGAUAUUUGUUAAAGAAAUUCGCUGAUAGAUGGGCAUGCGUUCCAUUAGGUAGUUGGUGAGGUAACGGCUCACCAAGCCGACGAUGGAUAGGGGAACUGAGAGGUUUGUCCCCCACACUGGAACUGAGACACGGACCAGACUCCUACGGGAGGCAGCAGUGAGGAAUAUUGGUCAAUGGACGAGAGUCUGAACCAGCCAAAUCGCGUGAAGGAAGACUGCCCUACGGGUUGUAAACUUCUUUUGUACAGGAAUAAAAGACAUUACGUGUAAUGUAUUGCAUGUACUGUACGAAUAAGCAUCGGCUAACUCCGUGCCAGCAGCCGCGGUAAUACGGAGGAUGCGAGCGUUAUCCGGAUUUAUUGGGUUUAAAGGGUGCGCAGGCGGGAUUUUAAGUCAGCGGUGAAAUUUUCAGGCUCAACCUGAACACUGCCGUUGAAACUGGGAUUCUUGAGUAUGGAUGAAGUAGGCCGGAAUUCGUUGUGUAGCGGUGACAUGCUUAGAUAUAACGAGGAACUUCCGAUUGCGUAGCCAGCUUACUAAGCCAUAACUGGACGC
This 737-nucleotide ribosomal RNA is filed under the name uncultured bacterium. RNAcentral describes it as "bacterial SSU rRNA". It matches the Rfam family "Bacterial small subunit ribosomal RNA", at positions 23 to 746 of the family's 1533-position model. The record is from RNAcentral.